Molecule: ribosomal RNA, 1437 nt
Filed under: uncultured organism
Description: SSU rRNA
Rfam family: Bacterial small subunit ribosomal RNA
Source: RNAcentral
GCUUAACACAUGCAAGUCGAGGGGCAUCAGGAAGAAAGCUUGCUUUCUUUGCUGGCGACCGGCGCACGAGUGAGUAACACGUAUCCAACCUGCCCUUUACUCGGGGAUAGCCUUUCGAAAGAAAGAUUAAUACCCGAUAGCAUAAUGAUUCCGCAUGGUUUCAUUAUUAAAGGAUUCCGGUAAAGGAUGGGGAUGCGUUCCAUUAGGUUGUUGGUGAGGUAACGGCUCACCAAGCCUUCGAUGGAUAGGGGUUCUGAGAGGAAGGUCCCCCACAUUGGAACUGAGACACGGUCCAAACUCCUACGGGAGGCAGCAGUGAGGAAUAUUGGUCAAUGGGCGGUAGCCUGAACCAGCCAAGUAGCGUGAAGGAUGAAGGCUCUAUGGGUCGUAAACUUCUUUUAUAUAAGAAUAAAGUGCAGUAUGUAUACUGUUUUGUAUGUAUUAUAUGAAUAAGGAUCGGCUAACUCCGUGCCAGCAGCCGCGGUAAUACGGAGGAUCCGAGCGUUAUCCGGAUUUAUUGGGUUUAAAGGGAGCGUAGGUGGACUGGUAAGUCAGUUGUGAAAGUUUGCGGCUCAACCGUAAAAUUGCAGUUGAUACUGUCAGUCUUGAGUACAGUAGAGGUGGGCGGAAUUCGUGGUGUAGCGGUGAAAUGCUUAGAUAUCACGAAGAACUCCGAUUGCGAAGGCAGCUCACUGGACUGCAACUGACACUGAUGCUCGAAAGUGUGGGUAUCAAACAGGAUUAGAUACCCUGGUAGUCCACACAGUAAACGAUGAAUACUCGCUGUUUGCGAUAUACAGUAAGCGGCCAAGCGAAAGCAUUAAGUAUUCCACCUGGGGAGUACGCCGGCAACGGUGAAACUCAAAGGAAUUGACGGGGGCCCGCACAAGCGGAGGAACAUGUGGUUUAAUUCGAUGAUACGCGAGGAACCUUACCCGGGCUUAAAUUGCAGUGGAAUGAUGUGGAAACAUGUCAGUGAGCAAUCACCGCUGUGAAGGUGCUGCAUGGUUGUCGUCAGCUCGUGCCGUGAGGUGUCGGCUUAAGUGCCAUAACGAGCGCAACCCUUAUCUUCAGUUACUAACAGGUCAUGCUGAGGACUCUGGAGAGACUGCCGUCGUAAGAUGUGAGGAAGGUGGGGAUGACGUCAAAUCAGCACGGCCCUUACGUCCGGGGCUACACACGUGUUACAAUGGGGGGUACAGAAGGCAGCUAGCGGGUGACCGUAUGCUAAUCCCAAAAUCCUCUCUCAGUUCGGAUCGAAGUCUGCAACCCGACUUCGUGAAGCUGGAUUCGCUAGUAAUCGCGCAUCAGCCACGGCGCGGUGAAUACGUUCCCGGGCCUUGUACACACCGCCCGUCAAGCCAUGGGAGCCGGGGGUACCUGAAGUACGUAACCGCAAGGAUCGUCCUAGGGUAAAACUGGUGACUGGGGCUAAGU